RNAcentral lists this transfer RNA (71 nucleotides) under Marmota monax (woodchuck). RNAcentral describes it as "tRNA.Ala". The record is from RNAcentral. Lineage: Eukaryota; Metazoa; Chordata; Mammalia; Rodentia; Sciuridae.
GGGGUUGUGGCUCAGUGGUAGAGUUCUCAUCUAGCAUGCGUGAGGCACUGAGCUCAAUCCUUAGCACCACA